GUAGGGGUGCGAGCGUUAAUCGGAAUUACUGGGCGUAAAGCGUGCGCAGGCGGUUCGCUAAGACCGAUGUGAAAUCCCCGGGGCUUAACCUGGGAACUGCAUUGGUGACUGGCGGGCUAGAGUAUGGCAGAGGGGGGUAGAAUUCCACGUGUAGCAGUGAAAUGCGUAGAGAUGUGGAGGAAUACCGAUGGCGAAGGCAGCCCCCUGGGCCAAUACUGACGCUCAUGCACGAAAGCGUGGGGAGCAAACAGGAUUAGAUACCCUGGUAGUCCACGCCCUAAACGAUGUCAACUAGUUGUCGGGUCUUCAUUGACUUGGUAACGUAGCUAACGCGUGAAGUUGACCGCCUGGGGAGUACGGUCGCAAGAUUA
This 371-nucleotide ribosomal RNA is filed under the name uncultured organism. RNAcentral describes it as "partial 16S ribosomal RNA". It matches the Rfam family "Bacterial small subunit ribosomal RNA", at positions 526 to 896 of the family's 1533-position model. The record is from RNAcentral.